CAAAAAUAGAGGACAAGCCAUCACUUUCCAUGGUUUUCGAAGAGAUACUUGAACGCCUAAAAGAUAAGCGUGUAACAAGAAUAGGACUUUGGGGCCAGGUGGGUGCUGGGAAAACAACAAUCAUGCAAAAUUUGCGUGAAAGUGAAGAAAUUUCUGAAUUGUUUGAUAUAGUCUUUUAUGUAACUCUAGCUGACGAAGGGAAUGAAGAAAGGUUGCAAGAAAGGGUUCAGCAUCAAAUAGCAGAAGAGCUACAAUUGGAUUUACUACAAGGCAGUACUGACGCUGCUUCAAAAAUAUCCAAGAGGUUGGAGAGCAUGAGAUUUUUACUUCUUUUGGAUGAUGUCUGGGGCACAUUUGAUCUCGAUGAUUGCGGCAUCUAUGAAAAUGAAAAGGAUAGCAAGAUAGUAAUUGCCUCUAGACAUUGUGGCAAUUGUCGUGAGAUGUGUGUUGAUCAUCUAAUUAGGGUGCCACGGCUCUCAAAUGAUGAAGCUUUGAAUCUUUUUCAGGAAAGAUUAGGUCGAAAGUUGUAUUCUGAGUUUGAAUCACUAGCCUGCCAAGUCAUUGAGCAGUGUGAUAAUUUGCCCCUUUUAAUAGACAAGGUUGCAAGAGCCUUCAGAAGGAAAGACGAUAUUCUUCUAUGGGAGUCUGGGCUGAAUAAAUUGCGAAUAUGGCCUGGUACCAAAUGUGAUGGAAUGGAUGAUGCGUUUGAUUUAUUAAGAUUCUGUUAUGAAGAAUUAGAUGAAGAUGGAAAAGUUUGCUUUCUUUAUGGUGCCUUAUAUGCUGAAGCAUAUGAAAUAUGUAUAAAUUAUUUGCUAGAAUGUUGGAGAGCUGAAGAUUUCACUCAAGAUGUGGAGGAGUUCACUGCAAUUCAGAAAGGUCAAGAGAUAUUGCAUGAUCUUUUGGAUGCAUCUUUGCUAGAAAACGGUGAAAAGGUAAAACAUGUAAGGAUGAAUAAAGUGCUACGGAAAAUGGCCUUUAAAAUCUUAGAAAGUGACGAUUCAAAAUGUUUGGUGAAACCUGGCAAGGGGCUCCAAAAGGCCCCCGAAAGUAAAGAAUGGGAACAAAAACUAAGGAUUUCUUUGAUGGAUAACAAAUUUAGCAGUUUACCGGACAAGCCAGAUUGCAACAAUCUCUCAACACUUUUACUCCAGAGAAAUAUUGAUUUGGCAGUGAUUCCUCGCCGAUUCUUUGAAUCUAUGCAAAGUCUUCGGGUUUUGGACUUACAUAGCACUAAUAUUGCUGAAUUACCAUCUUCGAUUUCAUGCUUGGUAUGUCUCAGGGCUCUUUAUUUAAAUUCUUGCAGGAGAUUGUCGAAGCUUCCAGGCAAAAUAAAGGCACUUAAGCAUCUUGAGGUGCUUGAUAUUCGAGGUACUGGGAUUAAUUCUUUGCCGGUUGAAAUAAGAUAUUUAAGCCAAUUGCAGCGCUUCAGGAUGUCAUUGUCAAAGAUAGAUGGAAAAUCAAGGAAAAUCAGAACAAAUCACAAUAUAAUUUUAGAGCUUUCUUUGUUGGAAGAGUUAGUCAUCGACAUUCAUCCAGAAAAUGAGUGGUGGAAGCAGGUUGUGAGAGAUAUAACUCAAAAUGUGGCUGUCCUGAAAAAAUUGACCUACCUUUCAUUCUCCAUAGGUGAAUAUCAUUCAACCAGGUACAAAAUUCUUGAUUGCUUCAGACAUAGGAUUUGCCGGCGUGUAAAAUAUGCGAAUGGUGAUGGCAAUCUUCCAUUGCCAGAGGUACUUGCUGAAGCUGAUGCAUUUGAACUAAUUGGAUGCAAGGGAGUUUUGAAGUUAUCGGACUUUGGCAUUGACAAUAUGACCAAGAUUAAGAGCUGUUUGAUUGAAAGUUGUAAUGAAAUGGAGACUGUUGUUGAUAGCAAUGGAAUAACAAAUGCAGUGUUUGAGUGCUUGGAGAAGAUGUACCUAAGCAAUAUCCCCAACUUGCAAAGCAUUUGGGAGGGUUUGGUACCUCAAGGAAGCCUUGCCCGACUAAAUACUUUAGUUUUCUUCAAAUGUUCAAAGCUGAAGAAGAUUUUCUCUAGCAGCUUAGUUCAGCAAUUCUCUGAUCUCCAGCACUUGGAAAUUGAAGCUUGUCAUCAAAUUGAAGAGGUUACCCUGGAAGCAGAGAACAAUGGGAUGAAUGCUCCUGUACUUCCAAGUCUAAAGUCAAUAGUACUUGUUGGUCUUCCAAGUUUAACAAACAUUUGGAUUGAUGAUUCACUGGAUUGGGCCUCCCUAGACAAAACGAUUUCCAUGUGUCCACUAUUGGAUAGUCAUCCUUCUUGGCGAACAGUACUGUGACAAGAAUGAAGAAGCUGCCUUCAAACAGAGAUUUUGCCCUGGUUGUAUCUUGAGCUAGCAUUUCUAAUUUUCAUUCUGGAUAAUAUUUGGUUUUGUAAUGUAUGGUAUUUAAACUAUAAGUACUUCUUUUGAACUUUCCAAAACAGAGGUUUGUAUUUUCAUUUUGUUUUUGAAAAUACAAACCUCUGUUUUGGAAAGUUCAAAAGAAGUACUUAUAGUUUAAAUACCAUACAUU
Molecule: unclassified non-coding RNA, 2526 nt
Filed under: Hevea brasiliensis (rubber tree)
Lineage: Eukaryota; Viridiplantae; Streptophyta; Magnoliopsida; Malpighiales; Euphorbiaceae
Source: RNAcentral